This is a long non-coding RNA of Osmia bicornis bicornis, 248 nucleotides long. RefSeq lists it as uncharacterized. NCBI's taxonomy places the organism in Eukaryota, Metazoa, Arthropoda, Insecta, Hymenoptera, Megachilidae. The transcript is spliced from 2 exons. The record is from RefSeq and is a predicted model, not a curated record.
GUCGGAAACAUUGCACGCUUUUUUGUCAUGGUACCUCUACACAAGCGGUGAAAUGGAUACGCCCUGGAAGUACAAAAUAUAUCAUUGAUACUCACUGGCAGUCCACACCUUCGCUCCGAACUUGAAAGUAACAGAGUAUAAUAGCAAGAACAACUAUGCAUCGUUGGAUGAAUACUACAGCCUGCAAUCAAAAUUUCAAUAAUUGUAAUUUUUUUAUUACAACUUUUUCGUUACAACGAUUAACGUAU